Molecule: transfer RNA, 73 nt
Filed under: Halonotius sp.
Lineage: Archaea; Methanobacteriati; Methanobacteriota; Halobacteria; Halobacteriales; Haloferacaceae
Also listed under: 1 other name
Description: tRNA-Gly
Rfam family: tRNA
About the family: Transfer RNA (tRNA) molecules are approximately 80 nucleotides in length.
Source: RNAcentral
GCGGGGCUGGUCUAGUUUGGUAUGACCUCAGCCUUCCAAGCUGACGACCCGGAUUCAAAUUCCGGGCCCCGCA